RNAcentral lists this ribosomal RNA (263 nucleotides) under uncultured bacterium. Its description in RNAcentral is "partial 16S ribosomal RNA". It matches the Rfam family "Bacterial small subunit ribosomal RNA", at positions 29 to 289 of the family's 1533-position model. The record is from RNAcentral.
AUUAACGCUAGCGGCAGGCAUAAUACAUGCAAGUUGAACGGCAGCACAGGUAGCAAUACUGGGUGGCGAGUGGCGCACGGGUGCGUAACACGUAUGCAACCUACCCUAUACAGGCGAAUAACCUUUAGAAAUGAGGGCUAAUACGCCGUAGUAUUACAGAUGGGCAUCUAUUUGUAAUUAAAGAUUUAUCGGUAUAGGAUGGGCAUGCGUCCCAUUAGUUAGUUGGUAAGGUAACGGCUUACCCAGACGAUGAUGGGUAGGGG